GAGUUUGAUCAUGGCUCAGAACGUACGCUGGCGGCACGCCUAACACAUGCAAGUCGAACGAAGUAGCAAUACUUAGUGGCAGACGGGUGAGUAACAUGUAGGUAUCUGCCCUUUGGCCUGGAAUAACACGAGGAAACUUGUGCUAAUACCGGAUAAGUCUUUACGGAGAAAGCUUUAUGCACCAUUGGAUGAGCCUGCACUUGAUUAGUUUGUUGGUGGGGUAAUGGCCUACCAAGACUGUGAUCAAUAGCUGAUUUGAGAGGAUGAUCAGCCACAUUGGGACUGAGACACGGCCCAAACUCCUACGGGAGGCAGCAGUGGGGAAUCUUGCACAAUGGAGGAAACUCUGAUGCAGCGAUGCCGCGUGAGUGAAGAAGGCCUUUGGGUUGUAAAGCACUUUCGUCGGGGAAGAAAAUGACUGUACCCGAAUAAGAAGGUCCGGCUAACUUCGUGCCAGCAGCCGCGGUAAUACGAAGGGACCUAGCGUAGUUCGGAAUUACUGGGCUUAAAGAGUUCGUAGGUGGUUGAAAAAGUUAGUGGUGAAAUCCCAGAGCUUAACUCUGGAACUGCCAUUAAAACUUUUCAGCUAGAGUAUGAUAGAGGAAAGCAGAAUUUCUAGUGCAGAGGUGAAAUUCGUAGAUAUUAGAAAGAAUACCAAUUGCGAAGGCAGCUUUCUGGAUCAUUACUGACACUGAGGAACGAAAGCAUGGGUAGCGAAGAGGAUUAGAUACCCUCGUAGUCCAUGCCGUAAACGAUGUGUGUUAGACGUUGGAAAUUUAUUUUCAGUGUCGCAGGGAAACCGAUAAACACACCGCCUGGGGAGUACGACCGCAAGGUUAAAACUCAAAUGAAUUGACGGGGACCCGCACAAGUAGUGGAGCAUGUGGUUUAAUUCGAAGAUACGCGCAGAACCUUACCAACACUUGACAUGUUCGUCGCGACUCUAAGAGAUUAGAGUUUUCGGUUCGGCCGGACGAAACACAGGUGCUGCAUGGCUGUCGUCAGCUCGUGUCGUGAGAUGUUGGGUUAAGUCCCGCAACGAGCGCAACCCUCACUUUUAGUUGCCAUCAUUAAGUUGGGCACUCUGAAAGAACUGCCAGUGAUAAGCUGGAGGAAGGUGGGGAUGACGUCAAGUCCUCAUGGCCCUUACGUGUUGGGCUACACACGUGCUACAAUGGUAUUUACAACAGGAAGCAAGACUGCGAAGUUAAGCAAAUCCCUAAAAGAUACCUCAGUUCGGAUUGCACUCUGCAACUCGAGUGCAUGAAGCUGGAAUUACUAGUAAUCGUGGAUCAGCGUGCCACGGUGAAUGCGUUCCCGGGUCUUGUACACACCGCCCGUCACACCAUGGGAGUUGGUUCUACCUUAAGGCAAGGUUUCAAACCCUUGACCACGGUAUAGUCAGCGACUGGGGUGAAGUCGUAACAAGGUAACC
This 1435-nucleotide ribosomal RNA is filed under the name uncultured marine bacterium. Its description in RNAcentral is "bacterial SSU rRNA". It matches the Rfam family "Bacterial small subunit ribosomal RNA". The record is from RNAcentral.